This 4703-nucleotide long non-coding RNA is filed under the name Triticum aestivum (bread wheat). Its description in RNAcentral is "long non-coding RNA (TAES_LNC016593)". Lineage: Eukaryota; Viridiplantae; Streptophyta; Magnoliopsida; Poales; Poaceae. The record is from RNAcentral.
UAAUAUCGAUCCAUUAUAUAUGUCUAAGUAAUCAGUUAACAUCACACAAUUUAUACCUUCCACUCAAUCAAAGUAACAUAUAAGCUUCAUUGAAAACCUUAAAACUUCAUUCGUCCAUAUAUAAGGAGGUUGUGCCACAAAAGGAGUACAUAUAUGUUUGCCACACAACCAAAAUAAAAUAGUGCCACAAAAGGAGAUGUACAUAUGUUUCUAGAUGUGUGCCACACAACCAAAAUGAGCUUAAUAACCAACAAAAUGAGCAUAUCAAGUCUCUAGGUUCAACAAACAAGACAAAUGACAUUAUCACUCCACCAACUUAAUUGUAGGUCUUCCAAAUCUUCAGCAACUUGAAGGUCCUUUGAGAAAUCUGCAUUAGAUCAGAAGAUGUUAUUGCAUUCAGAACUUUGGGAAAUCUGCAAUAGAUCAGAAGAUGUUAUUGAAUUCAGAACUUUGGGAAAUCUGCAAUAGAUCAGAAAAUGUUAUUGCAUUCAGAACUUAAGGAAGAUGUUACAAUAAUCACAUACAACCAGGGGCGAAUCUACUAGGCAUGCUUUAACAGGCUUAAGCCUGCCCUCCAACAAGAGUAAUUUCUUUUUUAGUACCAAAGAUUAGACCCCAGCGCAGCAAAACUGCUGUUUCCCAGCCCAUCUCAAUGGCAUAAUUACAGUUGAGCCUACCCUACAUUUACUCCGUAGAUUCGCCACUGCAUACAACAGCCGCAUAUGUUCUAUGUUCUGCAAUAUAGAGCAAUAGUAACAUAUCUAGAGUAAUUUCUACUAUAGUAGAGAAAAUGUCCAUUUCUUAUCAUCUUAACAAGUAGCAAGCUAAUCUUACUUCUCAUCAAAAUGUAGUGUGCAAAGUCUGUACAAAUAUUAAUAGGAAGGUGUUGCAACAAUCACAUACAACAGCCGCAUGGCCACAUACAACAGCGCAUAUGUUUUGAAACCUAGAGAAAACAGUAACAUCUCUAGAGUAAUCUCUUCUUUAGUAGAGACCAUGUCCAUUUUCUAUCAUCUUGACAGUAGCAAGCUUAUCUUACUUCUCGUCCAAAUAUAGUGUGAAAAGUCUGUACAAAUAUUAACAGUAACCACUAGGUGUACCUAUCUUAUACAGAGAAAGUGGUAUAAGCAGGUUAGCCAGCGAAAAAAAAGGAAAACUAAAUUGAAUCCUUAUCAGCUUGAGGAUUGUCACUACAAGAUGACAGGAAUUUUGAGAAGGAAUUUUGAUAGGCUUGCAAAUAUCUUAAGGAAAUAAUAAUAUAGAACUUCUCAAGAUGACGAGGGUGUUACCAGCAGAAAAACUUGAAUUCUAGCACGUUAUCAUCAAAUGACACUUCUAAUAAGGCAAAGACACUAAAGAUGUCCACAAUUAGCUUUAAUUUAAGAAACUGAAUCAUAUUAACAAUUCUAAGCUUUCAAAAGUGCAGAAGCAGAGUGGUAGUUAUAUAUUAAGUUUCAGGCCAAUACUAACAAUGAAUAAGCAUGUGGUUCCAAACUCUGAUUCAUUGCCAUAAGUAAUUCAUAAACAUCUUAUGGGAAAAUACUCUGUUCCUCAAGCAAACUUCUUUCUCAAGAUAUACAUUGGAAUCUGCAACAUGCAGAGACAGAUAAUGCCUGCCAGACAUUUGAUCUCAAAAGAACAUCUUCCAAGAAGGAACUUAUUACAUUACCUUAUGGAGUUAUUCGUAAAUGAUAUGGCUGUAAGGCUGGUGUUAUUAUCACCAAAGUAUUAUAAUCCACCUCCAUCUGAAAAAAUAAAACAAUGACAAGUAGCUUGAAUUAUAUUCCUUGGUAGAAUAUAUCAGUAAGUACAUAUUACAUGGUUCUGUAGCUAUGACAAUUUUUAGGUGUUUGUUGUAGCAUUCUCUUUUAUCAGGUUUAGUAUUAGUUGGUCUAGAGUGUAAAAGAAGAAAUGUAUAGCUUUAAUUCAAAACCAUUGAGUAAUAAUAUAUACUAACAAUAUUCAGUGUACUACUCGAACCAGGAUAUAGGUUAACAACAAUGUCAAUAAAUAUAUAUUAACAGUGAGAGGCUUGUGAGAAGUCCCUAGAUUUAGUUAGAUGUUUAAAUUUUAGGGACAAGAUUGUUUGUAACAAUUUCUAGGUAGAACCACCAUAAGCCCUAGAGCUCCAGCCCUUUUUCCCAAAGCUUCUGUCACUCCAUGAUUCUAUCCUUCAGCGAAGAAAUGUGACUGCUAAGCAGCAAUGAUGGAAGGAAAUCUGAAUUAGUGCUGAUUUCUAACACUACCUGCAUGUAACAAGUACUGCUACACUACCCAGGCGCCAAAUUCAGAGCAACAAAGGUCAAUGGGGGAAAACCAAGAGCAUGCAGUUCACUAAAAUAGUAAGGAGUUUUAAACCACAUUGGGACAAACAUAACUGGAAUCUUUGACAUAUGUUUAGAAACAACUUGCAGCAGGAUUAAUGAAAUUUGAAGGACAUAGUAAAUGCAGUUUAACACUUUUGUAGUGUAAGUAAAAAUAAAGAACCUCAGUACAAUCUGUGAAGAAACAGAAACUAAACUGACUAUUAGUGUGCAUCCUUUACUACUCUUGUUUUGUAAAUACUCUGAUAUUAAUAUCUGAGAUUUUAGUGAUAACCAAACACCUAACUAAAUAAAAUUAUAGUAUCAUGAAAAACUGUAGUAUUCUCAAAAUACUUAGAAAGUAUGUAUAGAACCUCAGUACAAUCUGUAAUGUAAGUAAUUUUAAAAACAUAAUUGCAACUUGAUGAAUCUCUGAAGAUUACAUAAGCCAUAGUUCUCAUGCAUCUUCUUUCAUAGCUAUUAGAUGAGAAAAGAAAAUUGUGUGCAUUCAAGGGGUCAUAAACGACUACAUGAAACAGCAAUGAAACCUUUCUUUCAGGUCAGACCAAAGGCAAGUCAGUAUAGCAUACAAUCUACAAACUACAAUUAUCUGUAUGGCGGGAUGUUAAAAAUGAACAGAACUGCAUACAUAUACAGAUCUUUCCUUUUCAUAUGCUGCUUAGCUCGCACGGAAAACUACAGACUUUUUUCUCGGCAGUGAGGUUCUCACAGACAGAAAUAAGGUGCAGUCCAUGUAUGUGAGAACAUCCGAUAUGUGCAGCAAAGUAUAUACUUUUACAUGUACCUAAGAUGGUAUCGCUCGAAGCUGAGGAAGAUACUCUAAUCUCAUAUGUAUAACAUUACUUGACACCUAGACGUUGCCCUUGUUUUUCUCAAAAGAAAAUUCACAUAUGCAAUUCAUAUAUGUAAGGCAAAACUGGAAUAAGAACCAAACAUCCACAUGAAGGAAGCCCUUGCUUAUUUCUAGCUAGCUCUGUACCCCAAAAGAACAAACCUGUAUUUAUGUAUAGCAAAGUUGAAUAAGAAAACAACUGCAGGUGCAAGGAAGCACUUACAAAUAUCUUAGUUUACUUCUAGCUAGCUUUCUGCCCAAAAGGAAAAACAAAUUCAUAUCUAUAUCUGGAGCAUACCUCAAUUAAUUGAAUCCAUCUUAGGCAAAAGCAGCAGCAUGGACACAGCCAAACUGCGAGUGUCUCCUGUCUCCUGCAACAGACAAAGCAAGCAUUAGAGGCAAAGCAAAUGCAAAAGGAUAACCAACAGAAGAGAAAGCAAAAGGAACCCAAACACGGCCAAAACAACACAAGAACUAUAUUACUGGCUAGAAACUAUAAACAAACAGAAGAAUUCCCUGCCCAACCUAAUUUCUACUUUGACGUUGCUAUUACUAAAAUGACCAUAUGUUCCAGGUCAGACAAGAUACCAGGCACAGCAACUAUUAGUAAAACAUGCAGCUGAAAAUAGCACUUUGUAAGGCUGACGGUUCCAGAUAUAUUCUUCCAUUCGAGUGCUCUGCUAUUUUCUUCAAACCAGAGGAAGAACAUUUGGCAUAUGAGCUCACGUGGUGUCAUUAAUCAUUGAAAAUUUUAAAUGGUAUUACCUGUAAUUUGAACACCAACAUCUAUUGACCUGUGAUUCUGCAAGGCACACGCAUAAGUAAAUGUAAGCAUAAGUUUCUCACAAGUGUGUCAACUAUUGAUUAUUGCUACGUUAAUAGAAAAACUGAAAAGAAUCAAGAGAACGGGAAGCACCAGGGGCAAUACCUUAGGCUCGAAGUACAAGAGGGGGAGGCCGUAGAAGCACGAACUGGGGGAGCACGGACAAAGGAUGAUGGGCGAGCACGACGUCGAGGUGGACCAGCGGCGGAGGAGCAAGCACCGGAGUAGGACGACCAGGAGGGCCGGCGGCGCCAAACCCUAGCCCGGCGCAUGCCUCAUCUCGGCAGUUCGGGAGAGAUGCCAAGUAGAUGGUGCUGCGAGAGGAGAAUGCGUGGAUGGAUAGACCACAUUUGGGCGGCGCUGGGAAUGAAGCGAACGGCGGACGAGAUCUGAGGAUACUUGACAGGGGCGAAGGGCUCGGCGACGGGGCCGGCCGGCGGGGAAUUAGAUCCGUGUUAGUUGGUGCUCGGCGGCGCUACGGUGGGGUGCUGGGGGCGACGCCGGCAAUGGUCGGAGUGGCGGUGGUUGCAGGGCGGCGGCGAGGGCACAUCGCGGUUGGGGGCGGCGGCGAGGGCACAAUAGACUCGAUUUGGGGGCAAUUUGGAAGAAGAUUCUGGGAGAUUGGGGCCGAGUCUAUACUUCCUUCGAUGCCAAAAUUUUUGCCUCUCGCGGGCCUACCCUCGCUAGCGCGCGCCUUGGCCCAAUAUUAUUUCGGUCUCCCGCU